This 433-nucleotide ribosomal RNA is filed under the name uncultured bacterium. Its description in RNAcentral is "partial 16S ribosomal RNA". It matches the Rfam family "Bacterial small subunit ribosomal RNA", at positions 29 to 507 of the family's 1533-position model. The record is from RNAcentral.
AACGAACGCUGGCGGCAUGCCUAACACAUGCAAGUCGAACGAGACCUUCGGGUCUAGUGGCGCACGGGUGCGUAACGCGUGGGAACCUGCCCUUAGGUUCGGAAUAACUCAGAGAAAUUUGAGCUAAUACCGGAUAAUGUCUUCGGACCAAAGAUUUAUCGCCUUUGGAUGGGCCCGCGUAGGAUUAGCUUGUUGGUGGGGUAAUGGCCUACCAAGGCGACGAUCCUUAGCUGGUCUGAGAGGAUGAUCAGCCACACUGGGACUGAGGCACGGCCCAGACUCCUACGGGAGGCAGCAGUGGGGAAUAUUGGACAAUGGGCGAAAGCCUGAUCCAGCAAUGCCGCGUGAGUGAUGAAGGCCUUAGGGUAGUAAAGCUCUUUUACCAGGGAUGAUAAUGACAGUACCUGGAGAAUAAGCUCCGGCUAACUCCGUG